AGGUAGUCGAGAUGAGUAUUCUAAGGCGCUCGGGUGAGCCGCGGAGAAGGAACUAGGCAAAUUAACGCUGUAACUUCGGGAUAAAGCGUACCGUCUUUGACGGUCUCAGUAAAUUGGUUCAACCAACUGUUUAGCAAAAACACAGGGCCCUGCAAAAUCGUAAGAUGACGUAUAGAGCCUGAUACCUGCCCGGUGCUGGAAGGUUAAGGAAGGAUGUUCGGCGCAAGCCAAAGCUUUCGACUGAAGCCCCAGUAAACGGCGGCCGUAACGAUAACGGUCCUAAGGUAGCGAAAUUCCUUGUCGGGUAAGUUCCGACCUGCACGAAUGGUCUAAUGAGUUGAACACUGUCUCCUCCGCGAGCCCGGUGAAAUUGUAGUAUCGGUGAAGAUGCCGGUUACCCGCCACGGGACGAAAAGACCCCGUGAACCUUCACUACAGCUUCGCAUUGAUUUUGAGUAACAGAUGUGUAGAAUAGUUGGGACGCUACGAAGCCAUGCCGCCAGGUGUGGUGGAGCGGUCGUUGAAAUACCAACCUUCUGUUACUUAGAGUCUAAUCCCGAAAGGGAGACAUUGCAUGGUGGGUAGUUUGACUGGGGUGGUCGCCUCCUAAAAAGUAACGGAGGCUCGCAAAGGUGCCCUCAGCAUGGUUGGUAAUCAUGCGUAGAGCGUAUUAGUAUAAGGGCGCUUGACUGUGAGACUGACAAGUCGAGCAGGUGCAAAAGCAGGCUAAAGUGAUCCGGUGGUUCCGCAUGGAAGGGCCAUCGCUCAAAGGAUAAAAGGUACUCCCGGAUAACAGGCUGAUCUCCCCCAAGAGCUCAUAUCGACGGGGAGGUUUGGCACCUCGAUGUCGGUUCGCCACAUCCUGGGGCUGGAGAAGGUCCCAAGGGUUCGGCUGUUCGCCGAUUAAAGUGGCACGUGAACUGGGUUCAGAACGUCGCAAGACAGUUCGGUCUCUAUCUGUGGUGGGCGUUAGUAAAUUGAGAAGACAUGACCUUAGUACGAGAGGACCGGGUCGUACACACCGCUGGUGUAUCUGUUGUGCCGCCAGGUGCAGUGCAGAGUAGCUAUGUGUGGCAAGGAUAAGCGCUGAAAGCAUCUAAGCGCGAAACCUUCUUCAAGAUGAGUUUACUUUUAAGGGUCGUAGUAGACGACUACGUUGAUAGGCUAUAGGUGUAAAGCUAGUAAUAGCAAAGCCGAGUAGUACUAAUUGCCCGUAAGCUUUUAAA
RNAcentral lists this ribosomal RNA (1226 nucleotides) under metagenome. RNAcentral's name for it is "bacterial LSU rRNA". It matches the Rfam family "Bacterial large subunit ribosomal RNA", at positions 1661 to 2925 of the family's 2925-position model. The record is from RNAcentral.